This 1240-nucleotide ribosomal RNA is filed under the name Psychrobacter sp. DAB_AL6. Its description in RNAcentral is "bacterial SSU rRNA". It matches the Rfam family "Bacterial small subunit ribosomal RNA", at positions 75 to 1311 of the family's 1533-position model. The record is from RNAcentral. Lineage: Bacteria; Pseudomonadati; Pseudomonadota; Gammaproteobacteria; Moraxellales; Moraxellaceae.
GUAGCUUGCUUCUCGCUGACGAGCGGCGGACGGGUGAGUAAUACUUAGGAAUCUACCUAGUAGUGGGGGAUAGCUCGGGGAAACUCGAAUUAAUACCGCAUACGACCUACGGGAGAAAGGGGGCAACUUGUUGCUCUCGCUAUUAGAUGAGCCUAAGUCGGAUUAGCUAGAUGGUGGGGUAAAGGCCUACCAUGGCGACGAUCUGUAGCUGGUCUGAGAGGAUGAUCAGCCACACCGGGACUGAGACACGGCCCGGACUCCUACGGGAGGCAGCAGUGGGGAAUAUUGGACAAUGGGGGAAACCCUGAUCCAGCCAUGCCGCGUGUGUGAAGAAGGCCUUUUGGUUGUAAAGCACUUUAAGCAGUGAAGAAGACUCCAUGGUUAAUACCCAUGGACGAUGACAUUAGCUGCAGAAUAAGCACCGGCUAACUCUGUGCCAGCAGCCGCGGUAAUACAGAGGGUGCAAGCGUUAAUCGGAAUUACUGGGCGUAAAGGGAGCGUAGGUGGCUCGAUAAGUCAGAUGUGAAAUCCCCGGGCUCAACCUGGGAACUGCAUCUGAUACUGUUGAGCUAGAGUAUGUGAGAGGAAGGUAGAAUUCCAGGUGUAGCGGUGAAAUGCGUAGAGAUCUGGAGGAAUACCGAUGGCGAAGGCAGCCUUCUGGCAUAAUACUGACACUGAGGCUCGAAAGCGUGGGUAGCAAACAGGAUUAGAUACCCUGGUAGUCCACGCCGUAAACGAUGUCUACUAGUCGUUGGGUCCCUUGAGGACUUAGUGACGCAGCUAACGCAAUAAGUAGACCGCCUGGGGAGUACGGCCGCAAGGUUAAAACUCAAAUGAAUUGACGGGGGCCCGCACAAGCGGUGGAGCAUGUGGUUUAAUUCGAUGCAACGCGAAGAACCUUACCUGGUCUUGACAUAUCUAGAAUCCUGCAGAGAUGCGGGAGUGCCUUCGGGAAUUAGAAUACAGGUGCUGCAUGGCUGUCGUCAGCUCGUGUCGUGAGAUGUUGGGUUAAGUCCCGCAACGAGCGCAACCCUUGUCCUUAGUUACCAGCGGGUUAAGCCGGGAACUCUAAGGAUACUGCCAGUGACAAACUGGAGGAAGGCGGGGACGACGUCAAGUCAUCAUGGCCCUUACGACCAGGGCUACACACGUGCUACAAUGGUAGGUACAGAGGGCAGCUACACAGCGAUGUGAUGCGAAUCUCAAAAAGCCUAUCGUAGUCCGGAUUGGAGUCUGCAAC